This 306-nucleotide ribosomal RNA is filed under the name uncultured bacterium. RNAcentral describes it as "partial 16S ribosomal RNA". It matches the Rfam family "Bacterial small subunit ribosomal RNA", at positions 507 to 809 of the family's 1533-position model. The record is from RNAcentral.
GACAGCAGUAGCCGCGGUAAUACGAAGGGGGCUAGCGUUGCUCGGAAUUACUGGGCGUAAAGGGAGCGUAGGCGGGUCGUUAAGUUGGGGGUGAAAGCCCGGGGCUCAACCUCGGAAUUGCCUUCAAAACUGGCGACCUUGAGUAUGGGAGAGGUGAGUGGAACUCCGAGUGUAGAGGUGAAAUUCGUAGAUAUUCGGAGGAACACCAGUGGCGAAGGCGGCUCACUGGUCCAUUACUGACGCUGAGGUGCGAAAGCGUGGGGAGCAAACAGGAUUAGAGACCCCUGUAGUCCCUGUCUCUUAUAA